GAUGAACGCUGGCGGCGUGCUUAACACAUGCAAGUCGAACGGAGUUACAUGAAACCUAGUGAUUGUAACUUAGUGGCGGACGGGUGAGUAACGCGUGGGUAACCUGGCGUAUACAGGGGGAUAACACUUAGAAAUAGGUGCUAAUACCGCAUAAGCGCACGAAUUCGCAUGAAUUAGUGUGAAAAACUAAGGUGGUAUACGAUGGACCCGCGUCUGAUUAGCUAGUUGGUGAGGUAACGGCCCACCAAGGCGACGAUCAGUAGCCGGCCUGAGAGGGUGAACGGCCACAUUGGGACUGAGACACGGCCCAAACUCCUACGGGAGGCAGCAGUGGGGAAUAUUGGACAAUGGGGGAAACCCUGAUCCAGCGACGCCGCGUGAGUGAAGAAGUAUUUCGGUAUGUAAAGCUCUAUCAGCAGGGAAGAAAUUGACAGUACCUGACUAAGAAGCCCCGGCUAACUACGUG
This 466-nucleotide ribosomal RNA is filed under the name uncultured bacterium. RNAcentral's name for it is "bacterial SSU rRNA". It matches the Rfam family "Bacterial small subunit ribosomal RNA", at positions 28 to 507 of the family's 1533-position model. The record is from RNAcentral.